This 1284-nucleotide long non-coding RNA is filed under the name Bemisia tabaci. Its description in RNAcentral is "lncRNA ENSSSA2NGG012137". The record is from RNAcentral. Lineage: Eukaryota; Metazoa; Arthropoda; Insecta; Hemiptera; Aleyrodidae.
AUCAGCCCGGGGUUUGCACAGCACUUUGACGUACGUGUUGAGUGAUAUCGGCGAUCCUUGGUUUCGUGAUGAACACUGCCCCAGUUCACGUUGGAGUGCUAUCUGACGACCGGGCUAGUCGCCCUCCCCAGAAGCCAAAAUAUGAUUACUACCUACGUACCAAGAUAUGUAAAAAUACCUUUUAAAUACAGUAGAUAUUAAAUAGCUGAAAUAAGGUAUAUAAAUAUCGUUUUAAAAUAUCCCGAUAUCCUUUUUUUAGGUAUUCAAUACCAUACCUAUAAAAUAGGUAAAAAAUAGGUUUCAUAUAAAAGCCUUAGCAAAUUUGGAUAUAGUGUAAGUAAAGAAGAACACUAAUGAGUAAGCGGUAUAUGCAUCUCUAAGAUGCUUGUGUGAAAAAUAAUCACAGAUCUGAAAAGAUGAAGGACCUUCCCCUCUUGAAAGACUCUCCUUCCAUUGCUGUCCCGAGGAUCAUGAUGGUCAAACCCCGAUGAUUUAUUCUACAUACGUCCUCUCGGUGAGCUAGAUGAACAAUACAUUGUGAAUACCAAUGCGAUUCAUUGCAGCUAUCAUGACCCCAGGAUGUUUAAAACCAAGGUGAAAAUUCUCUCUUUCUUUAGAGUUGUGGAAACUCUUUGAAAAAACACCUAAAUAGGAGUAAAAAUCAUUAACUUGUGAUUUCUGGAACAAAAAAGACAACAGCGAAUCCUGAUGGCAAAAAUAGGAAUUAGAUGCAAGUAUUUGAUACAUAUCGACAGUACAACUACCAGAUCACAUAUGUCAUUUACGGUAGUUUAAAAAUCUCCGCUCCCAUUUUAUUUUUUUGAAGGAGAACAAAUCAAUAUCAUCUCUUGAAAUCUUCACAGAGACGUUUUCAAGGAUUGACUUUGAGUAGUUUUCCCUUAAAUUAUAAAGUACGUCAGGCAGUCUACGACAUAGCAAACGGAUACCUAUCCUGGUAGUUUCACCAUGGAUAUGUAAUAGACACUGUAUUUAGAUUACAAGUAUUUUAUACUGUAUAAAAUAUAUAUUAAAUAAGGUAUCCACUUGAUGAGUACCUAUCUGAUACUAGUAUUUUGGCUAUUAGGAUCCUUGGAUCCAAACGACGAUCCUUUGUAGUUAUAAUUUUAGAUGUUGAGAAGAGAGGAAUUAAAAAGAAAGUUAAUUUUUAUGAUACAAACUGAUAGGUAGGUACACUCACGCGGCAAAAAUAAAAAAAUAUCUUGAUAGUAUAAAUAUUCGUAACACUUAUUGAAUGUAAUUUCUCUUGAUCAGAAUGAUUUACGA